CGGAGGGUGCAAGCGUUAUCCGGAUUCACUGGGUUUAAAGGGUGCGUAGGAGGGCAGGUAAGUCAGUGGUGAAAUCUCCAAGCUUAACUUGGAAACUGCCGUUGAUACUAUCUGUCUUGAAUAUUGUGGAGGUGAGCGGAAUAUGUCAUGUAGCGGUGAAAUGCUUAGAUAUGACAUAGAACACCAAUUGCGAAGGCAGCUCGCUACUCAAUUAUUGACUCUGAGGCACGAAAGCGUGGGGAUCAAACAGGAUUAGAUACCCUGGUAGUCCACGCCCUAAACUAUGGAUACUCGACAUACGCGAUAUACAGUGUGUGUCUGAGACGAAAGCAUUAAGUACUCCCACCGUGGGAAGUACGACCGACAAGGUUAG
This 373-nucleotide ribosomal RNA is filed under the name uncultured organism. Its description in RNAcentral is "bacterial SSU rRNA". It matches the Rfam family "Bacterial small subunit ribosomal RNA", at positions 526 to 897 of the family's 1533-position model. The record is from RNAcentral.